This 101-nucleotide small nucleolar RNA is filed under the name Spinacia oleracea (spinach). RNAcentral's name for it is "Plant small nucleolar RNA R71". It matches the Rfam family "Plant small nucleolar RNA R71". From Rfam's summary of the family: R71 is a member of the C/D box family of snoRNAs containing the C (UGAUGA) and D (CUGA) box motifs. The record is from Rfam by way of RNAcentral. Lineage: Eukaryota; Viridiplantae; Streptophyta; Magnoliopsida; Caryophyllales; Amaranthaceae.
AUCCCAUGAUGAGGGCAUUUCCUUUGGUACUCCUUAAAACGAUCCCAAGCUUCAAAAAGUGUCUCGUCUCGCCUUUGCUCAAAGGAUUGAAUUUUGUGGCG